UACGGAGGAUGCAAGCGUUAUCCGGAAUUAUUGGGCGUAAAGCGUCCGCAGGUGGUUAAUCAAGUCUGCUGUUAAAGCGUCCAGCUUAACUGGAUAUCGGCAGUGGAAACUGAUUGACUAGAGUUUGGUAGGGGUCACGGGAAUUCCCAGUGUAGCGGUGAAAUGCGUAGAUAUUGGGAAGAACACCAGCGGCGAAAGCGCGUGACUGGGCCUGAACUGACACUCAUGGACGAAAGCUAGGGGAG
This 245-nucleotide ribosomal RNA is filed under the name uncultured bacterium. RNAcentral's name for it is "partial 16S ribosomal RNA". It matches the Rfam family "Bacterial small subunit ribosomal RNA", at positions 524 to 768 of the family's 1533-position model. The record is from RNAcentral.